UACGUAGGGGGCAAGCGUUGUCCGGAUUUAUUGGGCGUAAAGAGCGUGUAGGCGGUCUGUUGCGUCCGCUGUGAAAUCUCGGGGCUUAACCCCGAGCCUGCAGUGGAUACGGGCAGACUAGAGGUAGGUAGGGGAGAAUGGAAUUCCCGGUGUAGCGGUGAAAUGCGCAGAUAUCGGGAGGAACACCGGUGGCGAAGGCGGUUCUCUGGGCCUUACCUGACGCUGAGGAGCGAAAGCGUGGGGAGCGAACAGG
RNAcentral lists this ribosomal RNA (253 nucleotides) under uncultured bacterium. RNAcentral describes it as "partial 16S ribosomal RNA". It matches the Rfam family "Bacterial small subunit ribosomal RNA", at positions 524 to 776 of the family's 1533-position model. The record is from RNAcentral.